This is a small nuclear RNA of Cavia porcellus (domestic guinea pig), 109 nucleotides long. The record is from Ensembl. Lineage: Eukaryota; Metazoa; Chordata; Mammalia; Rodentia; Caviidae.
UUAAGUUCACUUCAGCCUCACAUAUACUAAAAUUGUAGUGAUACAGAGAAGGUUGGCAUGACCCCUGCACAUGGAUGACAUGAAAAUUUGUGAAGUGUUUCAUAUAAAU